RNAcentral lists this ribosomal RNA (254 nucleotides) under uncultured Glomus. Its description in RNAcentral is "partial 18S ribosomal RNA". It matches the Rfam family "Eukaryotic small subunit ribosomal RNA", at positions 624 to 886 of the family's 1831-position model. The record is from RNAcentral. Lineage: Eukaryota; Fungi; Glomeromycota; Glomeromycetes; Glomerales; Glomeraceae.
AAGCUCGUUGAAUUUCGGGAUUAGUACGUCGGUCGUGCCUUAGGUACGUACUGGUGUUACUGGUUCCUACCUUCUGACGAACCAUCAUGUCAUUAAUUUGGUGUGGUGGGGAAUCAGGACAGUUACUUUGAAAAAAUUAGAGUGUUUAAAGCAGGCUCGCGCUUGAAUACAUUAGCAUGGAAUAAUGAAAUAGGACGUUGAUCCUAUUUUGUUGGUUUCUAGGAUUGACGUAAUGAUUAAUAGGGAUAGUUGGG